CGGGACGGGUGAGUAACACGUGGAUAACCUACCUAUAAGACUGGGAUAACUUCGGGAAACCGGAGCUAAUACCGGAUAAUAUAUUGAACCGCAUGGUUCAAUAGUGAAAGACGGUUUGCUGUCACUUAUAGAUGGAUCCGCGCCGCAUUAGCUAGUUGGUAAGGUAACGGCUUACCAAGGCAACGAUGCGUAGCCGACCUGAGAGGGUGAUCGGCCACACUGGAACUGAGACACGGUCCAG
Molecule: ribosomal RNA, 241 nt
Filed under: uncultured Staphylococcus sp.
Lineage: Bacteria; Bacillati; Bacillota; Bacilli; Caryophanales; Staphylococcaceae
Description: partial 16S ribosomal RNA
Rfam family: Bacterial small subunit ribosomal RNA
Source: RNAcentral